This 369-nucleotide ribosomal RNA is filed under the name uncultured bacterium. RNAcentral's name for it is "bacterial SSU rRNA". It matches the Rfam family "Bacterial small subunit ribosomal RNA", at positions 30 to 403 of the family's 1533-position model. The record is from RNAcentral.
AUUGAACGCUGGCGGCAUGCUUUACACAUGCAAGUCGAACGGGCUUAGGGGCUUGCUCCUAAGUUAGUGGCGAACGGGUGAGUAAUACAUCGGAACGUACCGUGUAGUGGGGGAUAACGUAGCGAAAGUUACGCUAAUACCGCAUACGAUCUACGGAUGAAAGUGGGGGACCUUCGGGCCUCACGCUAUACGAGCGGCCGAUGUCUGAUUAGCUAGUUGGUGAGGUAAAGGCUCACCAAGGCAACGAUCAGUAGCGGGUCUGAGAGGAUGAUCCGCCACACUGGGACUGAGACACGGCCCAGACUCCUACGGGAGGCAGCAGUGGGGAAUUUUGGACAAUGGCGAAGCCUGAUCCAGCCAUGCCGCGUG